UACGAAGGUGGCGAGCGUUGUUCGGAAUCACUGGGCUUAAAGCGCACGUAGGCGGCCCAUUAAGUACCUUGUGAAAUCCCACGGCUCAACCGUGGAAUUGCUUGGUAUACUGUUCGGGCUUGAGGCAGGUAGGGGCGCGUGGAACUCUUGGUGGAGCGGUGGAAUGCGUAGAUAUCAAGAGGAACGCCGGUGGCGAAAGCGACGCGCUGGGCCUGUCCUGACGCUGAGGUGCGAAAGCCAGGGGA
This 245-nucleotide ribosomal RNA is filed under the name uncultured bacterium. RNAcentral's name for it is "partial 16S ribosomal RNA". It matches the Rfam family "Bacterial small subunit ribosomal RNA", at positions 524 to 767 of the family's 1533-position model. The record is from RNAcentral.